Molecule: ribosomal RNA, 417 nt
Filed under: uncultured beta proteobacterium
Lineage: Bacteria; Pseudomonadati; Pseudomonadota; Betaproteobacteria
Description: bacterial SSU rRNA
Rfam family: Bacterial small subunit ribosomal RNA
Source: RNAcentral
GAGUUUGAUCUUGGCUCAGAUUGAACGCUGGCGGCAUGCCUUACACAUGCAAGUCGAACGACGGCAGGGGGCAACUCCUGCCGAGUGGCGAACGGGUGAGUACAACAUCGGAACGUGUCCCGUCGUGGGGGAUAACCAGUCGAAAGACUGGCUAAUACCGCAUGAGAUCGAGAGAUGAAAGCGGGGGACCGCAAGGCCUCGCGCGAUGGGAGCGGCCGAUGCCGGAUUAGCUAGUUGGCGGGGUAAAAGCCCACCAAGGCGACGAUCCGUAGCUGGUUUGAGAGAACGACCAGCCACACUGGGACUGAGACACGGCCCAGACUCCUACGGGAGGCAGCAGUGGGGAAUUUUGGACAAUGGGCGCAAGCCUGAUCCAGCCAUGCCGCGUGUGUGAAGAAGGCCUUCGGUUGUAAGCAC